Anguilla rostrata (American eel) is the source of this 2976-nucleotide long non-coding RNA. RefSeq lists it as uncharacterized. Lineage: Eukaryota; Metazoa; Chordata; Actinopteri; Anguilliformes; Anguillidae. The transcript has 3 exons. The record is from RefSeq and is a predicted model, not a curated record.
UUGAAAAAUCGACGGUUAUAAUAUAACAGUAAUUUGCUAAACAAAAUGAAAUUUUGCCUUCGGAGAUUAAGAAAUAGGCCUAGGAUACGAAAGACAUUACAACGCAUCAGCAACUGUUUCAUCAUCCAAUUAAAAUCUAGCAACGUCACUCGUGCAAGCCUUCAAAUACGCUGGUGAACGGUUUAAUUGGGAAAUUGGCGAAGCGAAGAAAAGUUGAUAGGCCUACUGAAGGCCGCGUUUUUAAAGAGAAAUGGAUGGAGGAUUACUUUUUUGUGGAAGUGAAAUACAAGCCCGUUUGCUUAAUUUGUGGAGAAGCUCUUCUCAAAAAGAGCAAUCUUGAAAGAUACACCUGCUGACGUCCAAGUUAUGCUACCCUUGAAUUAACAGUGGGAGCGGAAAAAUUCAAGGCGUUGAGGAAUAAUAUCGCUGCACAACAAGCGUCUUUCUUGCGGCCUAAAAAAGAGCUGGACAGUGUCACGUAGGCAAAACAACCGUCACUAAAAGCCUGGCACAGCAACGUGGAUCUUCUGGAUUUCUACAAGCAAAUCAUAAGCGUUGGCGAAUUUUCGAGUUUGAGGAAAUACGCGUUGAGGAUAGCAUCACUGUUCGGAACCACAUACCGCGGUGAACAGUUCUUCUCCAAACUCUCACUUGCAAAGCACAGGCUUCGUUCCAGACUCACAGACAUAAAUUUGGGAGAGCAAGCUCCGUAUGGCAACAUCAGUAGACCUACCAACAGACAUUCCACAACUGGUUGAAGCAAAGUGUAGUCAACCACCACAUUGAAUUUCAGCUUAUCUACAUUCUACCAUCAUCCUCCUUCCAACUGCAAGAAAAAUUUUCCAUACUUUAAUAAAAAAUAAAUAAUAAGCACUGAUGAAGACAAAAUGAAAAAAAAUGGGCGUGUUGGUCAGGUGGGAGAGCUGUCGAUGUACCAUCAUGGGAAAGACAACAGCCGCUGCAGAGGCCUUGAUGACCCAGAGCAUCACCAGGCAGGAGAGCUGCACCAGGGUGAAGAUGUGCACCUUCCACAAGGGGACGUAGCGCAGGUAGAUCAGGUCCGGCUGGUGCUUCGCCGGCAUGCCGAACAGCUUGAUCCGAUCAAAGAACUUCAAAGCAAAAAGAGAAGACAACGCAUUAAUGAGUGAUGUGAGAAACUGAAGACAUCCACUGGUGGGAAAGGUCAAGGCUUCAGUGAUGAAGGACUCCAAAUAUACUGCCAUUGUUCAGCAAAAAGAAAAGCAACACAUGAGGCGACCAACUGUCCAAGCUUCUUAACAAGAUCUUCAUUUAAUCCUCAGGAUAUCCUCUCUCAGACAAAGCCAACAGUUCAGCCGCCUUCUAAUAACGGUGCUGGAAGCAACCUGGAGCUAAAGGCUAAUAUUGGCAUAACCCCCACCGCCCCCGGAGAAUCUGUGGAUUGCACUCUUACCUGAAUGCCUUUCAGAGAAGAGGCUCCCAUGUAAAGAAAGACGCCAUAUAAAACUGGCAUGGGAAUGAACUGAGGAGAGGCAAGGACAUAAAACAGAAAAGUUCAAAACAUAUACAGACACCAACAUUACAAUAAGUUCCGCUAUUAUUUCUUAUGCGGUCCUAUAUUUUUGACGCUGAAUGACACUAAAGCUGUUUAGGUCAUAGCUUUUAUACGAAAAACAGCACAAAGAGGUUUUCAAAAAACGCCGAUCAGGUGUUGCGCCUCAACCGUACAGGCCUACAGAAUUCCCUCUCACCUUGAGAACGGAGGUCAUGAAGACGGACAGGCCCAUGAGGACGAAGAUCAUAAGGCCGGUCACUCUCUGCUCCCGGAUGCCCAGGAACUUGGGCUGCUCCCCGGGGGCGGAGCAGGCCGACUCCACCUUCAGGCUGUUGACGUGGGAGAUGGAGAGGACGGUGGCCGCCACGAACCAGGGCAGGCCCAUGAUGGAGCACACACCCAGCAUCAGAGACACCACCAGGAGGUCCAGGUGGUACCCACCGCCUUUCUGUGGGCCAGGAGCAGCUGGGUGAACGUUAGCGCGACACAGGCAGGUAUGGCACAGCACAGCAGGGUUACAGCACGGCACAGAGGAUGAGCACAGCACAAAAAGAGCACAGCACAGUUACAGCACAGGUCACAGUGGACAGCACAGCACCGAGAGCACAGUAAAGAAGGUACUGUACAUCACAGAGUGUAUUGCACAUUACUGAGAUUGUGCAAGAUGAUGAAUUAGCACAGGAAAAAUGGGAAUUGGUUGCACUGGAAGGACAGGGUGUAUGUGGUGUAGAAGACGUCUCCUCACCUUCAGUUUGUGCUCCUUGCGGUUGAUGAUGACGGCGGUGAUCUGCUGGUCCAUGAAGAUGAGGAUGGUGCAUAGCAGCGCAGGGACGAAUGCUGCCAGGACCGUCCACCAGGGGUUCUCUCCCAGAGGAUCAAUCAGCCAUCCCCGGUGCUUAGAGGUGGGCUGCAGGGCACGGUGUGACAUCACAAAUUACACUGGAACCCUCAGGGACCAAAUGUACCACAGCAGGCAAUCACCAGCCUGAUGCAAUCCCUGACCUCAUCAGCACACUGAAAAGAGACGCUAGGCCAGAAUCCACGUUCUCACGUUUACUCAAGGCUUUCACUAUAUCUGGGACAAGGGCAGGCAUUGGGCUGACUGCCACGGAAUGCCCUUUGCUGGCAGCCACUGUCUGCGUGAUUCUGUUACUGUAUGUUAUUCAAUAGCAUAAUAAAUCACAGAGACAGAUUCUGCACUGGACUUAAGAGUGCUUUGAUUUGUUUACCUACUAUGCAAUAGGACACAAAUUAGUGACAAAAUAGUCACAGGCAUAACUCAUGUCCCAGUCACAGGAAUCAAACCUGGCUAUGUUUCUAAACAACCCUGGAGACAGACCAUCAUUACCUCAAAGCGGUCAGGAACAUUCAGUUUUGGAGAGGGGACCCCAACCAGGUAAUCCACCAGUACCAUGAUCAUUAUUGUGAGAAACACCGCAAAA